AACGGGGGGGGCGAAGCGUUAUUCAUAUUGACUGGGCGUAAAGGAUGCGUAGGUAGUAUUUUUAGGUUUUAUUCAAAUUACAGAGCCCAGCUUUGGUAUGGAUUAACGUCAAAAUUACUGGUAUAUAGCAGAGAAUAGUCGUACUUUUUUGUGUAGAGGUAAAAUUCAUCGAUAUUCAAAGGACGAACAUUAGGCGAAGGCAACUAUUUAGGUUAUAUAGACACUGAGGCAUGAAAAGCAUGGGGAGCAAACGGG
RNAcentral lists this ribosomal RNA (255 nucleotides) under uncultured bacterium. RNAcentral's name for it is "partial 16S ribosomal RNA". It matches the Rfam family "Bacterial small subunit ribosomal RNA", at positions 524 to 776 of the family's 1533-position model. The record is from RNAcentral.